Molecule: ribosomal RNA, 119 nt
Filed under: Pteropus alecto (black flying fox)
Lineage: Eukaryota; Metazoa; Chordata; Mammalia; Chiroptera; Pteropodidae
Source: RNAcentral
AUCUGCAGCCAUGCCACCCUGAACAAGCCCGAUCCCGUCUGAUCUCGGAAGCUAAGCAGGGUCGGGCCUGGUUAGUACUUGGAUGGGAGACCACCUAGGAAGACCAGGUGCUAUAGGCG